This 468-nucleotide ribosomal RNA is filed under the name uncultured bacterium. RNAcentral describes it as "partial 16S ribosomal RNA". It matches the Rfam family "Bacterial small subunit ribosomal RNA", at positions 28 to 507 of the family's 1533-position model. The record is from RNAcentral.
GACGAACGCUGGCGGCGUGCUUAACACAUGCAAGUCGAACGGAAAGGCCCUGCUUUUGUGGGGUGCUCGAGCGGCGAACGGGUGAGUAACACGUGAGUAACCUGCCCUUGACUUUGGGAUAACUUCAGGAAACUGGGGCUAAUACCGGAUAGGAGCUCCUGCUGCAUGGUGGGGGUUGGAAAGUUUCGGCGGUUGGGGAUGGACUCGCGGCUUAUCAGCUUGUUGGUGGGGUAGUGGCUUACCAAGGCUUUGACGGGUAGCCGGCCUGAGAGGGUGACCGGCCACAUUGGGACUGAGAUACGGCCCAGACUCCUACGGGAGGCAGCAGUGGGGAAUAUUGCACAAUGGGCGGAAGCCUGAUGCAGCAACGCCGCGUGCGGGAUGACGGCCUUCGGGUUGUAAACCGCUUUCGCCUGUGACGAAGCGUGAGUGGCGGUAAUGGGUAAAGAAGCACCGGCUAACUACGUG